CCGACCUUUUCUGACGGUCU
This 20-nucleotide small nuclear RNA is filed under the name Arabidopsis thaliana (thale cress). Its description in RNAcentral is "snRNA_03493". The record is from RNAcentral. Lineage: Eukaryota; Viridiplantae; Streptophyta; Magnoliopsida; Brassicales; Brassicaceae.